AUUGAACGCUGGCGGCAUGCUUAACACACGCAAGUCGAACGGUAGCAGACCUAGCUUGCUAGGUGCUGACGAGUGGCGGACGGGUGAGUAACGCGUGGGAAUCUGCCCAGUAGCGGGGGGACAACUCGGGGAAACUCGAGCUAAUACCGCAUACGCCUACGGGGAAAGGGCUUCGGCCACUAUUGGAUGAGCCCGCGUCGGAUUAGCUUGUUGGUGGGGUAAUGGCCUACCAAGGCGACGAUCCGUAGCUGGUCUGAGAGGAUGAUCAGCCACACUGGGACUGAGACACGGCCCAGACUCCUACGGGAGGCAGCAGUGGGGGAAUAUUGGACAAUGGGCGAAAGCCUGAUCCAGCAAUGCCGCGUGAGUGAAGAA
RNAcentral lists this ribosomal RNA (375 nucleotides) under uncultured bacterium. Its description in RNAcentral is "bacterial SSU rRNA". It matches the Rfam family "Bacterial small subunit ribosomal RNA", at positions 30 to 412 of the family's 1533-position model. The record is from RNAcentral.